This 460-nucleotide ribosomal RNA is filed under the name uncultured bacterium. RNAcentral describes it as "partial 16S ribosomal RNA". It matches the Rfam family "Bacterial small subunit ribosomal RNA", at positions 338 to 795 of the family's 1533-position model. The record is from RNAcentral.
CCUACGGGCGGCAGCAGUGAGGAAUAUUGGUCAAUGGACGCGAGUCUGAACCAGCCAAGUAGCGUGAAGGAUGACUGCCCUAUGGGUUGUAAACUUCUUUUAUAUGGGAAUAAAAUGUUCCACGUGUGGGAUUUUGUAUGUACCAUAUGAAUAAGGAUCGGCUAACUCCGUGCCAGCAGCCGCGGUAAUACGGAGGAUCCGAGCGUUAUCCGGAUUUAUUGGGUUUAAAGGGAGCGUAGGUGGAUUGUUAAGUCAGUUGUGAAAGUUUGCGGCUCAACCGUAAAAUUGCAAUUGAAACUGGCAGUCUUGAGUACAGUUGAGGUGGGCGGAAUUCGUGGUGUAGCGGUGAAAUGCUUAGAUAUCACGAAGAACUCCGAUUGCGAAGGCAGUUCACUGGACUGCAACUGACACUGAGGCUCGAAAGUGUGGGUAUCAAACAGGAUUAGAUACCCCUGUAGUC